UGUGUGUGUGUCUCACGGGUGGUGGUUGCUUCUCUAUUAUGAGGUGUGAUGUACUUUUUGUUGCAUCAAUUGCAGGUGGGUGAAAGACAGCAAACAUGGCUUGUCGCAAGAUGAAGCGAGCAGCCUCUUGGACAUGCUUCGAGACUUGGCCUAUGAGCCACCAGCACAGAAAGGCCCAGUUGACAGUGGGUAUCGCCAGCUUGAGCUCAAGCUGCAGGAGUCACAGGUGUGGCAGGACCACAAGGCUGUUCAAUCCUGGCUGCAAACAAAGUGGUUGGCAAUACCAGAGGUUCGGCCUCAUUUCCUCUGUGUUGCGCUGACGAGUCCACAAAGGACGAAACAGUUCUGUCCGCAGAUUGAGUACUUGUCAUAAUUAUGUAAUUUCUUUCUUUCUAUGGUAAAAGCAAAAAGGACCAAAGAACUACAAGAUGAUGAUAACUUUGCAGCUUAGAAAGCGUUUGUGGGCAGGCAUGUUCUUACCGCCCUAUUGCCAGGUGUGUAUUUACCACCAUAUGAAUCAGCCAUAAGCUUUAAUUAACUUGUUAUUUUGUUCUUCUUGUGCAGUGCUGGGCCAGGGCGUGGACAGGUGUAGGCUAUGGUUUGAAUGUAUAUAACAACAAUGGCGUUGAAGCUCAAAAUAAAAUCAGAAAACCUCAGUAAAACAGACUUGCCUGAAAUCCAAUAGUUUUGUUUUGCAAAGCCACGAGCAAAUUGAAACUCUUCACGUAGUUAACCAUGGACAUGAAUUUCAAUUUUAAUUUCUGCUAGCACAGGUCAACAUGGACGAUAGCCACUUUGUGUAGUAUGGUUUAACUUGGCAAUGUGAAGCGUGCUGCUCGGUGUAUGGGUGGACUGGAAUGUGAACAAUACGAGUUUCUAAACUGUAUCCACGUUACAUCUUCUCGGUUUUCUUUUCCAGGUCCUUAAAUAUACUUUCCUGCCACGCAACAGAACAACACUGGCAACUCUGUUCACUACCAUCAUUGACGUAUUCCUGCCGAGUCAGCUGAGAGAGUUCUCAUUCCUCAAUGUGGUGAGGGCAUUUAGAUACCAGCUCA
Molecule: long non-coding RNA, 1058 nt
Organism: Sycon ciliatum
Lineage: Eukaryota; Metazoa; Porifera; Calcarea; Leucosolenida; Sycettidae
Exons: 2
Source: RefSeq, a predicted model, not a curated record